Molecule: long non-coding RNA, 556 nt
Filed under: Chrysemys picta bellii (western painted turtle)
Lineage: Eukaryota; Metazoa; Chordata; Testudines; Emydidae
Description: lncRNA (ENSCPBG00000027962.1)
Source: RNAcentral
GUGCCGGGGAGCCUGGCACCCGCCAGCGCCUCGCGCCUAGGCCUGCGCUGGGGCAGCUCCCGGGACACGGGGUCGCUGGCCCCAGCCAAGGCCCGCUCACAUCCCCGAGCGGGUGGAGGGCUAGAGCUCUGGGGCGAGCCCCCUCCCUUGUGCUGCCAGGCGGGGACCCCUCCGCUGCCGCUCGGACCACAGAAAGCCCCUUAUCUUGGGGGGGCGCUUGCCAUACCAGCCCAAGGGGGGGAUUUAAACCGGGUUACGCAACUGCUGCAGCGGACUGUGUGGACGCUCAUCCUCGGUGUGGAACAUCUCCCUUAGGAGAAUUUAUUGGUCAACUCUUGUACCUUAGUGGCUCAGCUGAACAGAUGCAGGAAGAAAUCUGGACACUUGAAUGCUCAGACACCUCUCAAGUUCCCCUGCAGACGGAAAGCCAGCCACUGGACAUUUGCAUUUAUCGAGACCUCCUCAUGACCCUGGGUAAAUAUGAAUCUAGGGGGUAAUUUGUAAGACAUAUUUAAGUGCUGGAGACUAAAUAAAGUAGAAGCUUUGCAUGAAAGCA